This 242-nucleotide unclassified non-coding RNA is filed under the name uncultured fungus. RNAcentral describes it as "partial contains 5.8S ribosomal RNA, internal transcribed spacer 2, and large subunit ribosomal RNA". Lineage: Eukaryota; Fungi. The record is from RNAcentral.
AACGCACAUUGCGCCCGGUGGUAUUCCGCCGGGCACGCCUGUCCGAGCGUCAUUGCAACAAUCAAGCCUCGCUUGGUGUUGGGGGCUCGUCGCGCCUGGCGCGACCCCCCCGGAACCCGUUGGCGGUGGCCCUCUGCCCCGAUCGUCGCGCAUGUUACGACGGAGCAGCGGGUCGCCCGCCGAACCCCCCCCAUGACGCUAUGUUUGACCUCGGAUCAGGCGGGGAUACCCGCUGAACUUAA